GGCCACAGCUCAGUGGUAGAGCGUCUGCUUUCCAGGCAGAAGGUCCCAUGUUCGAUCCCCGGCAUCUCCA
Non-coding RNA from Podarcis lilfordi (Lilford's wall lizard), 70 nucleotides. Lineage: Eukaryota; Metazoa; Chordata; Lepidosauria; Squamata; Lacertidae. The record is from the annotation of a GenBank genome assembly.